This 73-nucleotide transfer RNA is filed under the name Tolypothrix sp. FACHB-123. RNAcentral's name for it is "tRNA-Phe". It matches the Rfam family "tRNA". Rfam says of the family: Transfer RNA (tRNA) molecules are approximately 80 nucleotides in length. Their secondary structure includes four short double-helical elements and three loops (D, anti-codon, and T loops). The record is from RNAcentral. Lineage: Bacteria; Bacillati; Cyanobacteriota; Cyanophyceae; Nostocales; Tolypothrichaceae.
CCCCUGGUAACUCAGUUGGUAGAGUGCCUGUUUGAAGAACAGGAGGUCAUCCGUUCAAUCCGGAUCUGGGGGA